GACGAACGCUGGCGGCGUGCCUAAUACAUGCAAGUCGAGCGGACGGAUGGGAGCUUGCUCCCAGACCGUCAGCGGCGGACGGGUGAGUAACACGUGGGCAACCUGCCUGUAAGACUGGGAUAACUCCGGGAAACCGGGGCUAAUACCGGAUAACUCUUUCCCUCACAUGAGGGAAAGCUGAAAGAUGGCAUCUCGCUAUCACUUACAGAUGGGCCCGCGGCGCAUUAGCUAGUUGGUGAGGUAACUGCUCACCAAGGCGACGAUGCGUAGCCGACCUGAGAGGGUGAUCGGCCACACUGGGACUGAGACACGGCCCAGACUCCUACGGGAGGCAGCAGUAGGGAAUCUUCCGCAAUGGACGAAAGUCUGACGGAGCAACGCCGCGUGAGUGAUGAAGGUUUUCGGAUCGUAAAACUCUGUUGUCAGGGAAGAACAAGUACCGGAGUAACUGCCGGUACCUUGACGGUACCUGACCAGAAAGCCACGGCUAACUACGUG
This 498-nucleotide ribosomal RNA is filed under the name uncultured bacterium. Its description in RNAcentral is "partial 16S ribosomal RNA". It matches the Rfam family "Bacterial small subunit ribosomal RNA", at positions 28 to 507 of the family's 1533-position model. The record is from RNAcentral.